UACGGAGGGUGCAAGCGUUAUCCGGAUUCACUGGGUUUAAAGGGUGCGUAGGUGGUUGGGUAAGUCUGAUGUGAAAUCUCCGGGCUCAACCCGGAAAUGGCAUUGGAUACUAUUCGGCUAGAGGUUUGGAGGGGGACUGGAAUUCUCGGUGUAGCAGUGAAAUGCGUAGAGAUGUGGAGGAACACCGAUGGCGAAGGCAGCCCCCUGGGUCAAGACUGACGCUCAUGCACGAAAGCGUGGGGAGCAAACAGGA
RNAcentral lists this ribosomal RNA (253 nucleotides) under uncultured bacterium. RNAcentral's name for it is "partial 16S ribosomal RNA". It matches the Rfam family "Bacterial small subunit ribosomal RNA", at positions 524 to 777 of the family's 1533-position model. The record is from RNAcentral.